RNAcentral lists this ribosomal RNA (500 nucleotides) under uncultured bacterium. RNAcentral describes it as "partial 16S ribosomal RNA". It matches the Rfam family "Bacterial small subunit ribosomal RNA", at positions 31 to 523 of the family's 1533-position model. The record is from RNAcentral.
AUAGAACGCCGGCGGCAUGCUUUACACAUGCAAGUCGAACGGUAACAGGGUGCUUGCACCGCUGACGAGUGGCGAACGGGUGAGUAAUGCGUCGGAACGUGCCGAGUAGUGGGGGAUAACGCAGCGAAAGUUGUGCUAAUACCGCAUACGUACUGAGGUAGAAAGUGGGGGACCUUCGGGCCUCACGCUAUUCGAGCGGCCGACGUCUGAUUAGCUAGUAGGUGAGGUAAAGGCUCACCUAGGCGACGAUCAGUAGCGGGUCUGAGAGGAUGAUCCGCCACACUGGGACUGAGACACGGCCCAGACUCCGACGGGAGGCAGCAGUGGGGAAUUUUGGACAAUGGGCGAAAGCCUGAUUCAGCCAUGCCGCGUGUCUGAAGAAGGACUUCGGGUUGUAAAGGACUUUUGUCAGGGAGGAAAUCCCUAGUGCUAAUAACACUGGGGGAUGACAGUACCUGAAGAAUAAGCACCGGCUAACUACGUGCCAGCAGCCGCGGUAA